Molecule: ribosomal RNA, 253 nt
Filed under: uncultured bacterium
Lineage: Bacteria
Description: partial 16S ribosomal RNA
Rfam family: Bacterial small subunit ribosomal RNA
Source: RNAcentral
UACAUAAAAUACAAGCAUUAAUCGGAAUUACUGGGCGUAAAGCGUGCGCAGGCGGUGAUGUAAGACAGUUGUGAAAUCCCCGGGCUCAACCUGGGAACUGCAUCUGUGACUGCAUUGCUGGAGUGCGGCAGAGGGGGAUGGAAUUCCGCGUGUAGCAGUGAAAUGCGUAGAUAUGCGGAGGAACACCGAUGGCGAAGGCAAUCCCCUGGACCUGCACUGACGCUCAUGCACGAAAGCGUGGGGAGCAAACAGG